RNAcentral lists this long non-coding RNA (1299 nucleotides) under Homo sapiens (human). Its description in RNAcentral is "long independently transcribed non-coding RNA 2464, transcript variant 3 (LINC02464)". The record is from RNAcentral. Lineage: Eukaryota; Metazoa; Chordata; Mammalia; Primates; Hominidae.
ACAUCAUACAUUCCAAGUAAUGCAGCACACUACUCUGGACCACGGUGACCUUUUAAAUAUUCUGCAAAUUGAUUUCCAGGCCAUUCCCACUCUCCCUUGUUUAUAGCCUUGGUAACCCAGAAGAAAAUGAGACUGGCCAGCUGUGAUUCCUGCAUUUCUGUUCUCAUCAGUGCUCAGAAUUACAUUUCUUUCUCUCCCAAAGGCUUCAUGACAACGCUUACUGUUGAUCUAGAGAGCAGCAGCACCAAGAAUCUUCAAUAAGGACAAGUUUAAGAGCUAUAAGCAGUUGUGUGGACUCCUUAGAGCCUUCUGCCUGAGAUGAUGCUGCCAGAGGGCCCUUGCCAGAUAUUGCCACCUUGAUAUUAGACUUCCCAUCCUCCAAAACUGUGUUAUCAAAAGGUCUCAUCAAAUUAUUUUAUGUAGAAGAGCACCCAAAUGUUAUUUCUUGCUGUUCCUCUUCUUUUCCUCAAGAGAAAGAAGGUUGAAAACUGAAAAUGAUGAAGUUGAAGAAUGAAGUCAAUGAGUGUUAAGAAGAGAUUCAUUUAUCCUUGAAAAAUGAAAAAGUAGAGUGCUGGUGGUGAUCAUGUCUUCCCUUCACCCAUGGGGACUUUUCAUUUAUCGCUGCCACUCCAGCAUGUUCACUAUUCUCUGUAGCAUGAAAAUCUGAUAAAGCUCAUGAGGGGAGAGAAAACUUAACUUCAAUAUUUUCCUGCUGAGCCUGAGAGUGCUUUGUAUACCCUAGCAAGAUGAAAAUCUUAGCUGCAGCAUCAGGAAGAGGACACCUCACUUUAUCCUACAUUCCUAUCUCAGUCAGGAAAGUAGCUCUAGAGAAGGAACUAAGAAGUCAAGUGCAUGGAAAAACUACAUUUCUCAGCCCCCUGACAAUUCUACAGGGGCACGAAACUAGUUUGGGCCAAUGAAUUGUGAGGAGAAGCAACACAGUGUUCCUUCCAGACUGAGGCCACACAAGCCCCGCACCACCUCUGUGAGGCAGACAUAUUGAUUCAGUGGCGCCACCCCAUCCAGGCAGCUUGGAUCACAAAGGAAAUAGCGGCUGUGGAGAGUUACCUGACCCAUAGAGGACUUUGUGCCUUUUGUGAAGUUGCUCUGUUAUCUCUGUGGCCCCAAAGACCAAAAUGAUGGAGAAAAUGAAACCAGGAUGAUUUCUGACAUCUGCUUCCACUCCACCUUCUUUAACCACUUCAUCCACAUCUCUCUUAGCUUCUCACAUAAGUCUCACCUGGAAUCAUCUUAUUUACACCAAUAAAUUUACCUACCACCUGCCUGUUGAUUGCCAAA